Molecule: long non-coding RNA, 568 nt
Organism: Sander lucioperca (pikeperch)
Lineage: Eukaryota; Metazoa; Chordata; Actinopteri; Perciformes; Percidae
Exons: 3
Source: RefSeq, a predicted model, not a curated record
UCAGGUCAGCAGACAUCACUGCCUCCACCACCUGCAUAUGAGUCAACACCACACAGGAAACCAGCCGGUCGGCCAGAGCUGGAUGGGUCUAUUUUAACGCAAGCUCGGCCUGCCACUUGGGACCCGGUUGAAGGUACAGUGGCUUUGAAUUUUCCAUUUCCAAUUCAAUACAAUUUCAUGAUAAGGAACUUGAGAAUAACUUAACUUUUUUGUUGUUGUAAACAGCAGAACUCAUCACACAGGAGACAGAAAUGAGAGCCAUGAGGACAACCAUUACCCGCAUGGCACAGCGGAUGGAUGCAUUUAAGGAGAAGAUGGAUGAGCUGCUCAUGCUCUUAAGGAGCUCCCAGUCACCUCCCUCUGCUCCAGUUGAUGACGUGUUGCUGUCGCCCUGCUCGACAGUCACCGAGCUGCAUGAGUUCAACAUGAGUCUCGGUCAACAAAAUGGUAAUUAAGUGGCCAUAGUCCUGCCCUAAGAUUAACACUAUAUAAUUGCAUAAAUUCAAAUAUCAUUAUAACUGAACUGACUUUUCUUACUAAAUGAGAUUGUACAAGCUCUCCACUUUGU